GGUCAAGUGACAAAGCGCAUACGGUGGAUGCCUAGGCGGUAGGAGGCGAUGAAGGACGUGGUAGCCUGCGAUAAGCUUCGGGGAGCUGGCAAACAAGCUUUGAUACCGGAGAUGU
This 115-nucleotide ribosomal RNA is filed under the name uncultured Gammaproteobacteria bacterium. Its description in RNAcentral is "partial 23S ribosomal RNA". It matches the Rfam family "Bacterial large subunit ribosomal RNA", at positions 1 to 113 of the family's 2925-position model. The record is from RNAcentral. Lineage: Bacteria; Pseudomonadati; Pseudomonadota; Gammaproteobacteria.